GGGGGGGGGUUGUGCAUUUGCACCGGCACAAAUUAUAAAAACAGGAAAAACAGAAGUCCUUGUGGGACUCCAGGCCGGGAGGUAGAGCGGGGAAGGCGAGUCCUGGAGAGGCCUAUGAAGAACGACUCACCGGGGGCUCGUUUCACUCCGUCGGCAACAACAAGCCGCCGGGCGGCUCGCUGCGAGUCACUCAGUGUCUUAUUAGAGCGUACGCCGGGCCGAGGAGGAACACCUUAUCAACCAGAUGUGAGCGGCUGUGAUAGAUGUGCUGUAUCCAGCUGCAUUGAGCCGAUAAGCACCCAAAUGAAAUUCUCUCUACAUGCGUGCUCUAAUUAAAAAGAGUCGCUCAGGUCUCAGAAAGUCCCCAUUUGAUGUAGUUAAUCUUUGUUUAAAAUGAUGCAAGUAGCGCACCGCCGCCGCGCCGUGGGUUCUCCACAUCUCGGGUUGAUAAUUAUAUAUGAAUCGCAAUGCUCUCUUUUCUCCUGACCACCUGCUGCUCGCGCCGCCGUCUCUGUACACGGAAGGUGACGCGAUCAGUAUUCAGCCGGCUUCUCCCCCUCCUGUCGUUUCUCACAAAGCAGCCCUAGGGGCAUUAGCGGUGAACCCCUACCCACAUGGGGCCUGUUGGUCGCCCUGACACCUGUCUCCCUCACGUUGACCCCCGGUCACGCCAUGGAUCACGCUACAAUGCCUCGGAGCCUGAGUCCGCCGCCACGGCCAGACAUUGACGGGCAGCCUCGGCCGGCCAACAUGCAGAUGGGCUUUUGGAAAACAUUUAAAUUAAAAGUAUCGCCGGCAGGAUCAUUUUUAUUUGAACAAGUCUGGCUCGGCAUUGAUUCAGCUGAGGGGGACACCUAAUGGAAUUAGAAACUUUUCCACAAUUGACUUGGGUUAUAAUUGUGAGUGAGUGGAUAGAAGGGAAAACAACAAGACAUACAUUUACCUUUUUUAGUGGAAGCAUUUAGUCAUUUUUCGUAACGUUCCAAAGUGAAUGGGUUCGGGGACAUUCCAGGAACCUUGUCUUUAACAUGAUAAGUCACUGAACCGGUACGAAUGGCCAAACCCAACAUAAAUAUACACAUAGCACUUGAUCAUGUCUACCUGUGGUCCACGAUAUCGGCCCAUUAGAGUGUUUUUGUUGAAAGUGGGGUUAGUGUUUCUGGCAUCGUGUCUGGUGCAGAGAACACAAUAUGGUUUAUGGAUCGAGUUCACUCAAUACUGCUGCAUUUUCCUCUUGUUACUCAUUACUCAUUCAUGCUGGCUCCUGUCAGGUUACGACUGCAUUAGAAUCUGUUUAAAUGUUGUUUGAAUUAUUUCACUGAAACAUAGUGCUUUAUAUGCGAAUUUUCUGCAAAUGUGCUUUGUCGCUGUUUUGCAAAGUGCAUAAUUUUUGUUGGACCUUAAUCUGCAAAACUGUGCUAAAUUCUCAUAUAUAAUUGAAUGGUUUUUGUAAUUAUUGAAAUAUCAGCAUUUUGUGUGUUUGCAAACACUUCCUGGUCAAUAGCGGGUGUGCAAAAAAUACUGAUGCAACCAAAUACUGAUGCAACCAAACCCUGAAGCGUGAAGCAGACAUUAUGCCAAUAUACAGUUGACUGCCUAUAUUUGGAUUUUCUGACAAUAUGUUUAAAUGCUGAACACAAUGAAAAAGCACCUGACAUUGCUCUUCCUGUCUGUCCCACCGUACCUGUCUGAAAGGAUCUGUAGCGCCGUGCCACAGGAGACAACAAUGUAUGGUCCACCUUUGCAAAGUUCUCUCGGCGUGGGUGGAGAUGCUCGCAGGCGGUGGACGGUUCCCUCUAAUGAGCCUGCUUGUGACAUGGGAAGAGGAGCCAAUGGCUUGUUGAUUCACAUAACCCCCCCCCCCAAAAAACGAGGGAACAUUUCCCCAGCCAUUCAUCAAUGUCCCCUUCCCCGUGUACAGUCUGCCGCGUACAACUCGCCUCUGCAGCCGCCGUGCGGGCUCGCGAGGACUGAGGCCACAGCGCCGCUCGUCUCGCGCCGGGGCUCUCUGCGCCGCACUUGCAUCUGCCGGCGAUGUUCUCUUCUGUCGGCCUUUCAACAUGCAACAUUAUUUGGAAAAACUCCUCGGAAACCGCUGGCGAUGCCUUUAAGUGUGAGGAUUCGCUCUAUUUGCGCUCCGGCCCACUGGAGGAAACCUUUCUGACACCAGUGCUUUUUUUGAACACAGCGAUGCACUUUGAUGCUUUCAAGUGCAGGAGCUGUAAAGUACAGCGUCGUGCAGAAACUAGUCCAGUGACUUCUUUACACCAGCUCCAGGUGUGAUAAGAAGGAAAAAAAUGAAAUUCAAACCCAUGCAUGUUGCAAACGAAGACGAGGAAACGUGACCGUGGCUGCUUUUGAUCAUUAACAACGUGCAAGGAAGGUGGUAAAGAUGGGCAAUGCAAAUGAAUGGUAUUGAAG
Gasterosteus aculeatus aculeatus (three-spined stickleback) is the source of this 2421-nucleotide long non-coding RNA. Lineage: Eukaryota; Metazoa; Chordata; Actinopteri; Perciformes; Gasterosteidae. The record is from Ensembl.